UACGUAGGGUGCAAGCGUUAAUCGGAAUUACUGGGCGUAAAGCGUGCGCAGGCGGUUGUGCAAGACAGAUGUGAAAUCCCCGGGCUUAACCUGGGAACUGCAUUUGUGACUGCACGGCUAGAGUGCGGCAGAGGGGAUGGAAUUCCGCGGUGUAGCAGUGAAAUGCGUAGAUAUGCGGAGGAACACCGAUGGCGAAGGCAAUCCCCUGGGCCUGCACUGACGCUCAUGCACGAAAGCGUGGGGAGCAAACAG
RNAcentral lists this ribosomal RNA (252 nucleotides) under uncultured bacterium. RNAcentral's name for it is "partial 16S ribosomal RNA". It matches the Rfam family "Bacterial small subunit ribosomal RNA", at positions 524 to 775 of the family's 1533-position model. The record is from RNAcentral.